Molecule: transfer RNA, 76 nt
Filed under: Muribaculaceae bacterium Isolate-036 (Harlan)
Lineage: Bacteria; Pseudomonadati; Bacteroidota; Bacteroidia; Bacteroidales; Muribaculaceae
Also listed under: 3 other names
Description: tRNA-Lys
Rfam family: tRNA
About the family: Transfer RNA (tRNA) molecules are approximately 80 nucleotides in length. Their secondary structure includes four short double-helical elements and three loops (D, anti-codon, and T loops).
Source: RNAcentral
GACUCCGUGGCUCAGUUGGUAGAGCAAAUGACUCUUAAUCAUUGGGUCGUGGGUUCGAGCCCCACCGGGGUCACAA